CACAAGCGACAUGCAAAGGGUAGCUGGUUUGCUCUUCAUCGCAUCGUUUUAUUUUGGACUUUGUCCGAGAGUAUUGCUGAAGUUUAUUUUUCCCCCGGUCACCUGUGCGCGCGCGCGACGAGGCUCAUCUAUUUCCUCUCGACGUCGUCGACCCCGCUCGAUCGCCCCCUCCUCGGCGCCCCUUUCCCCUUUUUUGUUGUUCUUGUGCGCACCUGCGGGCUUCUCACAAACGGCGGUUGCACAUCUCUAGUAAAGGACGAUCUUCUGUCUCGCUCUCUCUCCCCUUCUGUGUGUCGGCUCUCCGGGUCUUGUCUGUUUUUCUCUCUCGCGUAGGUAAUUACCGUGUUGUCCUCUCUGUGUGCUCCUGCAUGGGCUUCUGUUCGCAUUAGUACCGAUACCAGCGUGCAUAACAUCCUGUUUGCUGGAGAGUGGCGCUUGAGUUUGUCGCGUCCUUCCCCCCUCACCCCUUCUUAUUUUGUGUACCUCCACUGCCCUCUUCUGUCGAGAGGCGUGCAGUGUGUUUCUCGCACGGUCAGGCUUUGUCGUAGACACUUGUGCUCACCACACUCUCUCUCUUUUUUUAUUGAGUUAUUAUUUUCGGUUGUCCAUAAGCGGACAUCGCCGCGGAAGGCAGACGCUGUGUGCGUCGACGCCUUCUGUUGCACGGAAAGACCGUGUCAUACGCUUCUCUCUAACACGCACGCUGCUUUCGCUUUAUCGAUCACGUAAGCUCGUAGAGGCACCCUCAGACUCUCGGGCAUUCUCACAGACUCGUAGUACUACUCUCACCUGCUCAGUCGGGGGGGGAACAGAUGCCGUCACUUCCCAAGAAGGUGCCGCCGCCGCCGAAGGAACCUGGCACUCACACCAAUGCCGAGGUGAAAGAGGCCCUGCACGCCCGUGCUCUGCGCCGCACCGUGCUCGUCACCGCCGUAGUCUUCCUUCUCCUGGCAUGCCUGGCUGUCGUCUCCAACACAGCCCGCAAAACUGUCGGCGAUACUAGAAAGCCGAAGAUGGUAAUGAUUGUUGCGAAGGGGCUGUCGCCCAUGUCAGUGGGCCGCGCCUUGAGGAGCAACAAGUCCCCCUUUAUGCGCCUUCUCUCCAAAGCGGGUGGGCAGUUUGCAACGAUCGCAGCCAAAAGCACGGCGAACCCGCUCGUCAACCUCCUCACUGGAUCCGCUACCAUCAGUGCCGACACGCUGGUCAACACCACGUCGAUCCUUGGCUGGCUAAAGUCGCAGGAUAAGCACACCAUUGUGGCUGCACCGUCCGCCUACUGGUCUUUGGGGGCGGCGGGCACGAGCCCGUGCCCGCAGGUGGGUCUGCUUGACACGGAGUGCUCGGGCCAAAAGUGCCCGGAAACGAAGGAAUCAGCAUACUGCAACGCCUUCCGCAAAUACAUCACAUGCGAUGAUUGCGCGCAGCUGUACAACGACGAAAUCCUGCUUGGUUUCGAGAAAAUGAUAAACCACUCCGCCGAUGCUUUGUACUUCCAGUUGAGCAAGCUCGCCGAGGCGGAGGUGAACAACCCGGAGCUGGCGGUGCAGGAACGCAGCGAGGUAAACCUGCUCGACUCCACCGUGGGCCGUAUCGCCCUGGCUCUAUCUAGGCGCACCAGUGAGGAGGCAGAGAACUGGCUCAUGAUCGUCACCAGCGACGGUGCCAACGCGGAGAUGGCGGCACCACUGCUCAUGGUGGUGUACACAAAGGGCGAGCUCGUGCAACUGAGCGACAUCGCCGAGGACGCCAAUACGGCCGAUGUAGCCAACACCAUCAAGUACUGGUUCAAGAGCAGCAAUGUAAACACGUCGCGUCUGCUGGGCAUCUGCACGGACGGUGAGAAGGUUGAAAACUGCAAGAGCACCACCUAACGCAAGCAAUAGCACACACUAAGGCAGGGCCACCGUCGCUGGUUCAAGUCUUUUCUCCGCAGGUAGCAAAAAAAAAAAGACAUACCCAAACACAUCGAUGAAGCUGCCGCUCAUUCUCCCGAAUGCAUGCCCGCGCCUGUGUGGGUGUCUGUCGGUGUGCCGUCGUCGUGCUAUUAUCUAACUUCUGGGGGGCAACGGAAGAGGUGCAUGAGAAGCCCCGGUACGAUGUUCAGGUGUGUCGACUACUGGUCCCCACUUUAGGGUCGUGGCCGGGAUGUAGAUGGAGAGCUUCAGCGGCGUUGGCAGCGGUCGUGGGUAUGCGUGGAGGUGUAUAUCCGGAAACCGAAACUCACCACAGCAAAAUGGAUGGAGAAAAAGGCGAAUCACCGCUGAAAAGGCGCGUGAACGACGGACUUCCCAAGGAGGCCAAGAUAAGGCAACGGAAGAAAACACGCAACCAUCUAUGGGGCUUGCAGACAUACAUGAUGAUCAGGGCGCACAGCAAGCAGCUACUGCAAACAUGAACAGCGUGCGUGUUACAGCGCGAGCUUUCUUUCGUUUUUCUUUUGCCGGGGUUGUGCUUGUGUGGCUGGCACGCACGGUGUGGUAGAGAUGCAGCAACGGGUGGAUAUAAUCGUCUCAUGCUCUGCAUCUCAGGCGUCAGAUCUGAGUGCGUGCCGCGGUUAUGAUGGCAUCCGAUGGUGUUUGUGUGCACGUGCGCAACGUUUGCUUCCUUUUACUCUCGCCGUACUCCCCCUUGCUGUUUGUUUGCUUUGGUUGAUACCCUGUCGCAGGGCAUGUAGGGAGGCGGGGCGGACCUCGGUGUAUGGUGCAGUGUCCGGAAACAAUUCAGCGUUAGUGCUGUGUGCUAUUUCCUCUCGUUUUGCGUGUGUGUUUUGUUUUGUUUGCGGGAGGUUUCGUUUAUCUUAGUAUUUAUGAACACGGAGCGCCCUAAUGGUGUCGUCCUGUGCGUCUUGGUGGCUUGCUGUGGCCCAACAGAUUGUUGGUGAGCACGUGAAGGCUGGUGCGCAAGUGCCUGAGCCAGUUUGUCUAUGCGUGCGUGCGCAGUGAUGGUUCUUGGUUUGGUUCGUGUGCGUUCGUUUGCUCAGCCUUGUCCGUCUGCGUGAGUGCCAGACUGCAUGAACAUCGAAGACGUAAACAAAACCAGCGAAAAGUGACGAAGGAACCACCAACCCUCCCCCCCCCCAAAAAAAAAAAAGUGGAAGGCAGUUUUGACGUCGUUACCUUUUCUGUCCCCAUCACCUCCCCCUUCGCUUCGCCUUUCUUCGUGACAGGAAAU
RNAcentral lists this unclassified non-coding RNA (3171 nucleotides) under Leishmania donovani. RNAcentral describes it as "gene:LdHU3.34.2420(CDS-product:hypothetical_prote in_conserved)". The record is from RNAcentral. Lineage: Eukaryota; Euglenozoa; Kinetoplastea; Trypanosomatida; Trypanosomatidae.